This is a non-coding RNA of Cervus elaphus (red deer), 564 nucleotides long. The record is from the annotation of a RefSeq genome assembly. Lineage: Eukaryota; Metazoa; Chordata; Mammalia; Artiodactyla; Cervidae.
AACUCUCAGCUUGAGGCAGAACUGAGCACAUUUGAGCAGGGGAAUCUUUGCCUCAUGCCGCUCUCCAGUCUGCUCUGGGUGUUUCUGGCCUUCACUUUCUCCGGAUCUGGUGUGGCGCAGAAAGUUAUUCAAGACCAGCCAGAUGUAUCCAGCCAAGUGGGGCAGUCAGUCACCCUGAACUGUCGGUAUGAAACAAGUUGGAGCGCUUACUACCUUUAUUGGUACAAGCAACUUCCCAGUGGACAGAUGACUUACGUUAUUCGUCAAGGUUCGGAAGUCACAAAUGCAAGGAAAGACCGCUACUCUGUAAACUUUAAGAAAGCAGAUAAAUCCUUCAACCUCACCAUUUCAGCCUUACAACUGGAAGACUCUGCAAAGUACUUCUGUGCUCUCUCUGAACUCACAGUGCUUGAAGUAAUAGGAAAAGCUGUACAAAAACCCCGGAGCUUAGAUGUGACGAAAACAGGGCAGGAAGACCUAGACAAGGAACUGCUUGAUCAUUGGCUGACAGAUCCUGGCAACAACACACUGCAACAGAUAGGUGCACUGGUUGUACGUCUCUAA